This 1015-nucleotide long non-coding RNA is filed under the name Salmo salar (Atlantic salmon). RNAcentral's name for it is "lncRNA (ENSSSAG00000109195.1)". Lineage: Eukaryota; Metazoa; Chordata; Actinopteri; Salmoniformes; Salmonidae. The record is from RNAcentral.
GAAAUAUCUAAUUCUAUGUGCUUUUUGGCUUUUCAGACUGCAGAACAAAAUAACAGAUUCGAAUCAGAGAGGCAAAUAAAUAGGAUUUGAGUUACUUCAAACUGCCAAUUUGAACAAGGCUUUAGUGACAUUUCACUGUAGCUUGACAAAUUAGGCCAAUGUCAAGGUCUUUGACAUCAGCAAAAGAUGACUUAGUUGAGUCACUGACUGACUGUGCCAUCGAAAUCUGGUCUAAACUUGUUAUUCAAGCCAAGGGCCUUACAGACCGACCGGCUGAUUGUUUAGCAACAAAACCGAUGCUUGCGCAACUAUGGGGAAAAACAGGCUUGGCUUAGAUUGUUGACAACAUGUAAACUAUAUUUAGUCUCCAAAUGUUAAUUGAAAACAUACAUAUAUUUGCACAAUGGGCAUUUGUUGUCUCAAAUACAUCGUUACAGUUGUUGGUUAGCUAGCUAGCUAAUUUUAUCCAUAUUAGCGUUGACAUGAAAUCAGUCAAAACACCUCAAAACAAGACAUGGCAUCAAGAAUAAGACAAACCUAGCUGAAACGAACAAUCCACCUACGAUUCCCCACAUGGCAGCUUGUUGUCAUUGCUGCUAGCUGACCGUUCAGAAUCAUAACAACGCACAGCUUCUGACCCCAUCGAUGCGCGCAUCAUUUUCCUGACUUUGUCUGCCAACUCGUCUAUGGGAAGUGAUCUGUCGACCUGUGUGGAGGUAGAUACAUACAAACCGUCUGACCCGUCUUACCGCCUCAUUUGUCAUCUCCCUUCACUGGCUGUGUGAGCGGUAGCUGACAGACGGGGUAUAAGCCUGGCCUGUCUGGUGUUGAGAGCCGGGCUUUCCACGCUGAAUAGAGAAACUAUGCACCAACGCCGGAGGAAAACAUGUAACGACACACACUGGCACACUCCCCCACUGAGAGCUGCUUUAGAGAGGUAUCCCAUAUCACUUUGCCCUGAGGCCUGAUACUGUACCUCCAGAAGACAACCUGAGGCCUGAUACCUCCAGAAGAC